This 46-nucleotide non-coding RNA is filed under the name Trichobilharzia regenti. Lineage: Eukaryota; Metazoa; Platyhelminthes; Trematoda; Strigeidida; Schistosomatidae. The record is from RNAcentral.
GUACUGAUGAAGAGUCCCAAACUAGGACGAAACGGCUUUCCGGUAC